RNAcentral lists this unclassified non-coding RNA (338 nucleotides) under soil metagenome. RNAcentral describes it as "partial contains 5.8S ribosomal RNA, internal transcribed spacer 2, and large subunit ribosomal RNA". The stretch from base 1 to 120 matches the Rfam family "5.8S ribosomal RNA", at positions 35 to 154 of the family's 154-position model. The record is from RNAcentral.
GAUGAAGAACGCAGCGAAAUGCGAUAAGUAAUGUGAAUUGCAGAAUUCCGUGAAUCAUCGAAUCUUUGAACGCAUAUUGCGCCCUCUGGUAUUCCGGGGGGCAUGCCUGUCCGAGCGUCAUUACAACCUUCAAGCACGGCUUGGCUGUUGAGCGGUCUGUUUUAACGAACAGGGCUCGAAAUGCAGUGGCGACGGCGAGAUUGGUGCCCGAGCGUAUGGGGCUCUGUCACACGCUCUGGUGGCUCCACUUGCAGUCUGCCACAGACUCAAAUCAAUCUGAUUGACCUCGGAUCAGGUAGGAACACCCGCUGAACUUAAGCAUAUCAAUAAGCGGAGGA